GGUGACGUGGCUGAGCGGUUUAAAGCACUGGUCUUGAAAACCAGCAAUCGGAAACGAUUCGUGAGUUCGAAUCUCACCGUCACCU
RNAcentral lists this transfer RNA (85 nucleotides) under bacterium. Its description in RNAcentral is "tRNA-Ser". It matches the Rfam family "tRNA". From Rfam's summary of the family: Transfer RNA (tRNA) molecules are approximately 80 nucleotides in length. The record is from RNAcentral.